This 203-nucleotide long non-coding RNA is filed under the name Nicotiana benthamiana. RNAcentral's name for it is "long non-coding RNA (NBEN_LNC034498)". The record is from RNAcentral. Lineage: Eukaryota; Viridiplantae; Streptophyta; Magnoliopsida; Solanales; Solanaceae.
UUGAAAAUCAUGUGUUAUUCUGGAAAAAUUUUUGGUCACUGCCUCAAGACAAUCGAUUGUUCCCUUACACAAUCGAUUGUCUUUGACGUUUAAAAUUCUGCCAGUUUUUUGGAACACCAGAAUAAUCGAUUGUUAAAACCAGACAAUCGAUUCUUCUGGUCCAGUGAGUUGAAACGUUUUUAAAUUAUACCAUACAAUCGAUU